GCUGGGCAUGGUGGCUCAUGCCUGUAAUCCCAGCAGUUUGGGAAGCUGAGGCAGGCAUAUCAUUUGAGCCCAGGAGUUCCAGAACAGCCUGGGCAACAUGGUGAAACCCCGUCUUUGUAAAAAGUACAAAAAUUAGCCAGGCAUGGUUGUGUGCACCUGUAUUCCUGGCAACCUGGGGGGCUGAGGCAUGCUUGAGUACGGGAAGGUCAAGGCUGCAGUGAGCCAAGAUCGCGCCACUGCUCUCUAGCCUAGGCGACAGAGUGAGACCCUGCCUCU
Unclassified non-coding RNA from Mandrillus leucophaeus (drill), 276 nucleotides. It matches the Rfam family "Metazoan signal recognition particle RNA". Rfam says of the family: The signal recognition particle (SRP) is a universally conserved ribonucleoprotein. Lineage: Eukaryota; Metazoa; Chordata; Mammalia; Primates; Cercopithecidae. The record is from Ensembl.